This 75-nucleotide transfer RNA is filed under the name Kapaibacterium thiocyanatum (SeqCode). RNAcentral's name for it is "tRNA-Val". It matches the Rfam family "tRNA". Rfam says of the family: Transfer RNA (tRNA) molecules are approximately 80 nucleotides in length. Their secondary structure includes four short double-helical elements and three loops (D, anti-codon, and T loops). Further hydrogen bonds mediate the characteristic L-shaped molecular structure. tRNAs have two regions of fundamental functional importance: the anti-codon, which is responsible for specific mRNA codon recognition, and the 3' end, to which the tRNAs corresponding amino acid is attached (by aminoacyl-tRNA synthetases). tRNAs cope with the degeneracy of the genetic code in two manners: having more than one tRNA (with a specific anti-codon) for a particular amino acid; and 'wobble' base-pairing, i.e. permitting non-standard base-pairing at the 3rd anti-codon position. Lineage: Bacteria; Pseudomonadati; Bacteroidota; Eximiradiia; Eximiradiales; Kapaibacteriaceae (SeqCode). The record is from RNAcentral.
GGGCGGUUAGCUCAGCUGGUUCAGAGCACCUGCCUUACAAGCAGGGGGUCGGGGGUUCAAAUCCCUCACCGCCCA